AACGCAACUUGCGCUCCCUGGUAUUCCGGGGAGCAUGCCUGUUUCAGCCUCAGAAAAAGUGUCGCCAAACAAUUUGGUUUGGUGGAGUUGAGCUUUCCCAAGCCCCCCCGGCCUGGGUGGUUCGAAAUGUAGAGUUUGCGCCUGCGCUCCCCUCCGCAAAAGCGACGAUAGGUGUUUUUUUCGCGCCCAGACCCGCUUGGAGAGUUGUUGCGCCCACGGUACAUUUUAUGUUUUGUACUUGAGCUGAAAUCAGGCAGGAUUACCCGCUGAACUUAA
RNAcentral lists this unclassified non-coding RNA (276 nucleotides) under uncultured fungus. RNAcentral describes it as "partial contains 5.8S ribosomal RNA, internal transcribed spacer 2, and large subunit ribosomal RNA". Lineage: Eukaryota; Fungi. The record is from RNAcentral.